ACACAUGCAAGUCGAGCGAUGAAGUUUCUUCGGAAAUGGAUUAGCGGCGAACGGGUGAGGAACACGUGAAGAAUCUGCCCUCCACUUUGGGAUAACACAGGGAAACCUGUGCUAAUACCGAAUAUUGAAACAUAAGUGGCAUCACUGAGUUUUGAAAGAAUUUCGGUGGAGGAUGACUUCGCGGCCUAUCAGCUAGUUGGUGAGGUAAUGGCUCACCAAGGCAACGACGGGUAGCCGGCCUGAGAGGGCGACCGGCCACACUGGGACUGAGACACGGCCCAGACUCCUACGGGAGGCAGCAGUGGGGAAUAUUGGGCAAUGGAGGAAACUCUGACCCAGCGACGCCGCGUGCGGGAUGAAGGCCUUCGGGUUGUAAACCGCUUUCAGCAGGGAAUAAGCGCAAGUGAAGGUACCUGCAGAAGAAGCACCGGCUAACUAUGUGCCAGCAGCCGCGGUAAUACAUAGGGUGCAAGCGUUGUCCGGAAUUAUUGGGCGUAAAGAGCUCGUAGGUGGUUUGUUACGUCGGUUGUGAAAUUCAGGUGCUCAACCCCUGACUUGCAGCCGAUACGGGCAAGCUAGAGUUUGGUAGGGGAGACUGGAAUUCCUGGUGUAGCGGUGGAAUGCGCAGAUAUCAGGAGGAACACCGAUGGCGAAGGCAGGUCUCUGGGCCAAUACUGACACUGAGGAGCGAAAGCGUGGGG
RNAcentral lists this ribosomal RNA (701 nucleotides) under uncultured Actinomycetes bacterium. RNAcentral describes it as "bacterial SSU rRNA". It matches the Rfam family "Bacterial small subunit ribosomal RNA", at positions 51 to 766 of the family's 1533-position model. Lineage: Bacteria; Bacillati; Actinomycetota; Actinomycetes. The record is from RNAcentral.